GUAGUCAUAUGCUUGUCCCAAAGAUUAAGCCAUGCAUGUCUAAGUAUAAGCAAUCUAUACGGUGAAACUGCGAAUGGCUCAUUAAAUCAGUUAUCGUUUAUUUGAUAGUACCUUACUACUUGGAUAACCGUGGUAAUUCUAGAGCUAAUACAUGCUAAAAACCUCGACUUCGGAAGGGGUGUAUUUAUUAGAUAAAAAACCAAUGCCCUUCGGGGCUCCUUGGUGAUUCAUAAUAACUUAACGAAUCGCAUGGCCUUGUGCCGGCGAUGGUUCAUUCAAAUUUCUGCCCUAUCAACUUUCGAUGGUAGGAUAGUGGCCUACCAUGGUUUCAACGGGUAACGGGGAAUG
This 348-nucleotide ribosomal RNA is filed under the name uncultured fungus. Its description in RNAcentral is "SSU rRNA". It matches the Rfam family "Eukaryotic small subunit ribosomal RNA", at positions 20 to 371 of the family's 1831-position model. The record is from RNAcentral. Lineage: Eukaryota; Fungi.